Molecule: ribosomal RNA, 373 nt
Filed under: uncultured organism
Description: partial 16S ribosomal RNA
Rfam family: Bacterial small subunit ribosomal RNA
Source: RNAcentral
GUAGGUGGCAAGCGUUGUCCGGAAUUAUUGGGCGUAAAGCGCGCGCAGGCGGGUUCUUUAAGUCUGAUGUGAAAGCCCACGGGCUCAACCGUGGAGGGUCAUUGGAAACUGGAGAACUUGAGUACAGAAGAGGAAAGCGGAAUUCCACGUGUAGCGGUGAAAUGCGUAGAGAUGUGGAGGAACACCAGUGGCGAAGGCGGCUUUCUGGUCUGUAACUGACGCUGAGGCGCGAAAGCGUGGGGAGCAAACAGGAUUAGAUACCCUGGUAGUCCACGCCGUAAACGAUGAGUGCUAAGUGUUAGGGGGUUUCCGCCCCUUAGUGCUGCAGCUAACGCAUUAAGCACUCCGCCUGGGGAAUACGACCGCAAGGUUG